This 26-nucleotide ribosomal RNA is filed under the name Parmularia styracis. Its description in RNAcentral is "partial 28S ribosomal RNA". RNAcentral also lists the same sequence under 1 other name. Lineage: Eukaryota; Fungi; Ascomycota; Dothideomycetes; Asterinales; Parmulariaceae. The record is from RNAcentral.
GUUUGACCUCGGAUCAGGUGGGGAUA